RNAcentral lists this ribosomal RNA (776 nucleotides) under uncultured bacterium. RNAcentral's name for it is "bacterial SSU rRNA". It matches the Rfam family "Bacterial small subunit ribosomal RNA", at positions 28 to 776 of the family's 1533-position model. The record is from RNAcentral.
GACGAACGCUGGCGGCGUGCCUAAUACAUGCAAGUCGAACGCUUUGAUUUUCACCGGAGCUUGCUCCACCGAAAAAUCAAAGAGUGGCGGACGGGUGAGUAACACGUGGGCAACCUGCCCGACAGAGGGGGAUAACACUUGGAAACAGGUGCUAAUACCGCAUAAUUUGUUUUCCCGCAUGGGAGAAUAAUAAAAGACGCUUCGGUGUCACUGUUGGAUGGGCCCGCGCUGCAUUAGUUAGUUGGUGGGGUAAUGGCCUACCAAGACCGUGAUGCAUAGCCGACCUGAGAGGGUGAUCGGCCACACUGGGACUGAGACACGGCCCAGACUCCUACGGGAGGCAGCAGUAGGGAAUCUUCGGCAAUGGACGAAAGUCUGACCGAGCAACGCCGCGUGAGUGAAGAAGGUUUUCGGAUCGUAAAACUCUGUUGUUAGAGAAGAACAAGUGGGAGAGUAACUGUUCCCACCUUGACGGUAUCUAACCAGAAAGCCACGGCUAACUACGUGCCAGCAGCCGCGGUAAUACGUAGGUGGCAAGCGUUGUCCGGAUUUAUUGGGCGUAAAGCGAGCGCAGGCGGUUUCUUAAGUCUGAUGUGAAAGCCCUCGGCUCAACCGAGGAGGGUCAUUGGAAACUGGGGAACUUGAAUGCAGAAGAGGAGAGUGGAAUUCCAUGUGUAGCGGUGAAAUGCGUAGAUAUAUGGAGGAACACCAGUGGCGAAGGCGACUCUCUGGUCUGUAAUUGACGCUGAGGCUCGAAAGCGUGGGGAGCAAACAGG